UUGCUCUCUGAUUCAGCGGCGGACGGGUGAGUAAUGCCUAGGAAUCUGCCUGGUAGUGGGGGACAACGUCUCGAAAGGGACGCUAAUACCGCAUACGUCCUACGGGAGAAAGCAGGGGACCUUCGGGCCUUGCGCUAUCAGAUGAGCCUAGGUCGGAUUAGCUAGUUGGUGAGGUAAUGGCUCACCAAGGCGACGAUCCGUAACUGGUCUGAGAGGAUGAUCAGUCACACUGGAACUGAGACACGGUCCAGACUCCUACGGGAGGCAGCAGUGGGGAAUAUUGGACAAUGGGCGAAAGCCUGAUCCAGCCAUGCCGCGUGUGUGAAGAAGGUCUUCGGAUUGUAAAGCACUUUAAGUUGGGAGGAAGGGCAGUAAGCGAAUACCUUGCUGUUUUGACGUUACCGACAGAAUAAGCACCGGCUAACUCUGUGCCAGCAGCCGCGGUAAUACAGAGGGUGCAAGCGUUAAUCGGAAUUACUGGGCGUAAAGCGCGCGUAGGUGGUUUGUUAAGUUGAAUGUGAAAUCCCCGGGCUCAACCUGGGAACUGCAUCCAAAACUGGCAAGCUAGAGUAAGGAAGAGGGUGGUGGA
Molecule: ribosomal RNA, 589 nt
Filed under: Pseudomonas sp. LS57
Lineage: Bacteria; Pseudomonadati; Pseudomonadota; Gammaproteobacteria; Pseudomonadales; Pseudomonadaceae
Description: bacterial SSU rRNA
Rfam family: Bacterial small subunit ribosomal RNA
Source: RNAcentral